RNAcentral lists this ribosomal RNA (163 nucleotides) under Amaranthus undulatus. Its description in RNAcentral is "5.8S ribosomal RNA". It matches the Rfam family "5.8S ribosomal RNA". Rfam says of the family: 5.8S ribosomal RNA (5.8S rRNA) is a component of the large subunit of the eukaryotic ribosome. It is transcribed by RNA polymerase I as part of the 45S precursor that also contains 18S and 28S rRNA. Functionally, it is thought that 5.8S rRNA may be involved in ribosome translocation. Lineage: Eukaryota; Viridiplantae; Streptophyta; Magnoliopsida; Caryophyllales; Amaranthaceae. The record is from RNAcentral.
UAAACGACUCUCGGCAACGGAUAUCUUGGCUCUCGCAUCGAUGAAGAACGUAGCGAAAUGCGAUACUUGGUGUGAAUUGCAGAAUCCCGUGAACCAUCGAGUUUUUGAACGCAAGUUGCGCCCGAANCCUUUNGGCCAGGGCACGUCUGCCUGGGCGUCACGC